Molecule: ribosomal RNA, 495 nt
Filed under: uncultured bacterium
Lineage: Bacteria
Description: partial 16S ribosomal RNA
Rfam family: Bacterial small subunit ribosomal RNA
Source: RNAcentral
AUGAACGCUGGCGGCGUGCCUAAUACAUGCAAGUCGAGCGAACGGACGAGAAGCUUGCUUCUCUGAUGUUAGCGGCGGACGGGUGAGUAACACGUGGAUAACCUACCUAUAAGACUGGGAUAACUUCGGGAAACCGUAGCUAAUACCGGAUAAUAUUUUGAACCGCAUGGUUCAAAAGUGAAAGACGGUCUUGCUGUCACUUAUAGAUGGAUCCGCGCUGCAUUAGCUAGUUGGUAAGGUAACGGCCUACCAAGGCAACGAUGCAUAGCCGACCUGAGAGGGUGAUCGGCCACACUGGAACUGAGACACGGUCCAGACUCCUACGGGAGGCAGCAGUAGGGAAUCUUCCGCAAUGGGCGAAAGCCUGACGGAGCAACGCCGCGUGAGUGAUGAAGGUCUUCGGAUCGUAAAACUCUGUUAUUAGGGAAGAACAUAUGUGUAAGUAACUGUGCACAUCUUGACGGUACCUAAUCAGAAAGCCACGGCUAACUACGU